This 206-nucleotide ribosomal RNA is filed under the name uncultured Acetobacterium sp. Its description in RNAcentral is "partial 16S ribosomal RNA". It matches the Rfam family "Bacterial small subunit ribosomal RNA", at positions 568 to 774 of the family's 1533-position model. RNAcentral also lists the same sequence under 1 other name. Lineage: Bacteria; Bacillati; Bacillota; Clostridia; Eubacteriales; Eubacteriaceae. The record is from RNAcentral.
CACGCAGGCGGUUUUUAAGUCAGAUGUGAAAGGUACCGGCUCAACCGGUGACAUGCAUUUGAAACUGUAAGACUUGAGUAUUGGAGAGGCAAGUGGAAUUCCUAGUGUAGCGGUGAAAUGCGUAGAGAUUAGGAGGAACACCAGUGGCGAAGGCGGCUUGCUGGACAAAUACUGACGCUGAGGUGCGAAAGCGUGGGGAGCAAACA